Molecule: ribosomal RNA, 402 nt
Filed under: uncultured bacterium
Lineage: Bacteria
Description: bacterial SSU rRNA
Rfam family: Bacterial small subunit ribosomal RNA
Source: RNAcentral
UUAGGAAUCUUCCACAAUGGGCGAAAGCCUGAUGGAGCGACGCAGCGUGAGGGAUGAAGGCUCUAGAGUCGUAAACCUCUAAAAGGGGGACGAUAAUGACGGUACCCCUUGAAAAGCACCGGCUAACUCAGUGCCAGCAGCCGCGGUAAUACUGAGGGUGCAAACGUUAUCCGGAAUUACUGGGCGUAAAGGGCGUGUAGGCGGUUUGUUAAGUCCGAUGUUAAAGGCCGGGGCUCAACCCCGGUACGGCGUUGGAUACUGGCAAACUAGACGGCUGGAGAGGCAAGUGGAAUUACCAGUGUAGCGGUGGAAUGCGUAGAUACUGGUAGGAACACUCAUUGCGAAGGCAGCUUGCUGGACAGCACGUGACGCUAAGGCGCGAAAGUGUGGGGAGCAAACCGG